ACUCAACUUUGGAGAUGUUGGCAC
Molecule: non-coding RNA, 24 nt
Filed under: Cricetulus griseus (Chinese hamster)
Lineage: Eukaryota; Metazoa; Chordata; Mammalia; Rodentia; Cricetidae
Source: RNAcentral